Molecule: unclassified non-coding RNA, 391 nt
Filed under: soil metagenome
Description: partial contains 5.8S ribosomal RNA, internal transcribed spacer 2, and large subunit ribosomal RNA
Rfam family: 5.8S ribosomal RNA (bases 1-122)
Source: RNAcentral
GAUGAAGAACGUAGCGAAAUGGGAUACUUGGUGUGAAUUGCAGAAUCCCGUGAACCAUCGAGUCUUUGAACGCAAGUUGCGCCCGAAGCCAUUAGGCCGAGGGCACGCCUGCCUGGGCGUCACACGUCGUUGCCCCCCCAUCUACUCCUUCGGGAUUGCGGGGGGUGGAUGAUGGCCUCCCGUGCGCCUCGCCGCGCGGUUGGCAUAAAUGCCAAGUCCUCGGCGACGCACGCCACGACAAUCGGUGGUUGCGAAACCUCGGUUGCCCGUCGUGUGCGGUCGUCGCGCAUCGAGGGCUCGAAAAAAUUGCCGGGUUCCGGCUCGGCUUUCAACGCGACCCCAGGUCAGGCGGGGUUACCCGCUGAAUUUAAGCAUAUCAAUAAGCGGAGGA